GAUGAACGCUAGCGGCAGGCCUAAUACAUGCAAGCCGAGGGGCAGCAUCAGCUUCGGCUGGAUGGCGACCGGCGCACGGGUGAGUAACGCGUACAUAACCUGCCUCGAACUGGGGGAUAAGCACUGGAAACGGUGUCUAAGACCCCAUAGUAUCAAAUAGUGGCAUCGCUGUUUGAUUAAAGGUUACGGUUCGAGAUGGAUGUGCGUACGAUUAGCUAGAUGGUGAGGUAACGGCUCACCAUGGCUCUGAUCGUUAGGGGGCGUGAGAGCGUGGUCCCCCACACGGGUACUGAGACACGGACCCGACUCCUACGGGAGGCAGCAGUAAGGAAUAUUGGGCAAUGGAUGCAAGUCUGACCCAGCCAUGCCGCGUGCGGGAUGAAGGCCCUACGGGUCGUAAACCGCUUUUACAGAGGAAGAAAAAGUCCCACGUGUGGGAUCGUGACGGUACUCUGCGAAUAAGCACCGGCUAACUCCG
This 478-nucleotide ribosomal RNA is filed under the name uncultured Bacteroidota bacterium. RNAcentral describes it as "bacterial SSU rRNA". It matches the Rfam family "Bacterial small subunit ribosomal RNA", at positions 28 to 505 of the family's 1533-position model. Lineage: Bacteria; Pseudomonadati; Bacteroidota. The record is from RNAcentral.